RNAcentral lists this long non-coding RNA (203 nucleotides) under Lathyrus oleraceus (garden pea). Its description in RNAcentral is "Pisum sativum (pea) long non-coding RNA (PSAT_LNC026218)". The record is from RNAcentral. Lineage: Eukaryota; Viridiplantae; Streptophyta; Magnoliopsida; Fabales; Fabaceae.
AUAAUUAUACAUAGCUGUGAUAGCUUAGAUAAUUAGAAAUCCAUGGAACUCAUUAAGAGCCCAAAUAUUACAUAAAGGCAUCAGUAAGGACUGUCACAAAUUACAACCAUUCGAAAAAAACAAUAAAACAGUCAAGCUUAAAAAAAAUUCAUAACCGUAGGGGGACCAGUCUUCAUAACAGCACACAUAACAUCCAAACCAAC